RNAcentral lists this ribosomal RNA (496 nucleotides) under uncultured bacterium. RNAcentral describes it as "partial 16S ribosomal RNA". It matches the Rfam family "Bacterial small subunit ribosomal RNA", at positions 28 to 506 of the family's 1533-position model. The record is from RNAcentral.
GAUGAACGCUGGCGGCGUGCCUAAUACAUGCAAGUCGAGCGAACAGAUGAGGAGCUUGCUCCUCUGACGUUAGCGGCGGACGGGUGAGUAACACGUGGAUAACCUACCUAUAAGACUGGGAUAACUUCGGGAAACCGGAGCUAAUACCGGAUAAUAUAUUGAACCGCAUGGUUCAAUAGUGAAAGACGGUUUUGCUGUCACUUAUAGAUGGAUCCGCGCCGCAUUAGCUAGUUGGUAAGGUAACGGCUUACCAAGGCAACGAUGCGUAGCCGACCUGAGAGGGUGAUCGGCCACACUGGAACUGAGACACGGUCCAGACUCCUACGGGAGGCAGCAGUAGGGAAUCUUCCGCAAUGGGCGAAAGCCUGACGGAGCAACGCCGCGGGAGUGAUGAAGGGCUUCGGAUCGUAAAACUCUGUUAUUAGGGAAGAACAAAUGUGUAAGUAACUAUGCACGUCUUGACGGUACCUAAUCAGAAAGCCACGGCUAACUACGU